CGUGGACAACCUGCCGUAUGCAGGGGGAUACCAGCUGGAAACAGCUGCUAAUACCGCAUAUGCGCACAGGGCCGCAUGGCCUGGUGCGGAAAGGAGCAAUCCGGCAUACGAUGGGUCCGCGUCCGAUUAGCUAGUUGGCGGGGCAGCGGCCCACCAAGGCGACGAUCGGUAGCCGGCCUGAGAGGGCGGACGGCCACAUUGGGACUGAGACACGGCCCAGACUCCUACGGAAGGCAGCAG
RNAcentral lists this ribosomal RNA (240 nucleotides) under uncultured bacterium. RNAcentral describes it as "partial 16S ribosomal RNA". It matches the Rfam family "Bacterial small subunit ribosomal RNA", at positions 116 to 354 of the family's 1533-position model. The record is from RNAcentral.